Molecule: non-coding RNA, 99 nt
Filed under: Oceanospirillales bacterium
Lineage: Bacteria; Pseudomonadati; Pseudomonadota; Gammaproteobacteria; Oceanospirillales
Also listed under: 1 other name
Description: Glycine sequence
Rfam family: Glycine riboswitch aptamer
About the family: This family represents the bacterial glycine riboswitch. Glycine riboswitches usually consist of two metabolite-binding aptamers domains with similar structures in tandem. The aptamers cooperatively bind glycine to regulate the expression of downstream genes.
Source: RNAcentral
AUGAAGGUAGCAGGAGAGCGGUGAGUGGUUAUUCAGAGCCAUCACCCACCGAAGAAGUAAAUCUUUCAGGUGUCUCCCCCGACGAACAGCCCUUGUUGU